Molecule: long non-coding RNA, 2580 nt
Organism: Gossypium raimondii (Peruvian cotton)
Lineage: Eukaryota; Viridiplantae; Streptophyta; Magnoliopsida; Malvales; Malvaceae
Exons: 4
Source: RefSeq, a predicted model, not a curated record
UCUAAAAGUUUGAAAAGCAUUUCUAAUUUCAAACUCAUUGUGUUCUUUGCUUAUGAUGCUAAAUAUACUUCUGGAGGUUAAUUUGAAACACAAUGGAAAAUUGGGACUUAUUCUAAAUGAGUCAAACAUUUAAAUUAACCGACUCAAGUAAUGAUUUUAACUUUGACACAGUUGAAUAAAGAGAAGUUUUCUGAAUUAAAAGUGAUAUAGAAAUGUGAUCUGAUUAAAUAAAUUUGACAUCCCAAAGUCAUACAACUGUAUGUUAUUUUUUCCCCGUCCAAUGAAUGUAUCAUGCAGACAAUAGUGUUGGGUAUUGUUAGGAGCCUCGGGAACAUAGCAAGUCGUCAAUUAAAGCAGACUGGUGGUACAAAUGGUUAAGUUCUGUUAUCUCAGUACUCUUUUAACUGCUGCUUUGUCUUUGCUCUUCAGCUUGUGAAUCUUUCAGUGGCUUUUAUGAUCUGGGCUGAGAGCAGUGCCCACUCCCUUGUGUUUGAGGGAAUUUCUCCUUGCAUUUGGUAUAGGGAUUUGUGCUUGGUGUAUUGAGUAACCCAAAUAGCAAUGGUCAGGGAGCUUAAUUACCUGCUGUUGUCUCAGUGCUUCUUUACUGGCAUCUAGAGCAAGGAGAACAGUUGCAAAUGUACUCUAGCCAGGAGCUUUCGGGAUCAUCUAUGCUCAAAAUAAAUACCAAGCUGGCCAAGUGGUUGAGACAUAAGAAUGAGAGGUGUCAAUCUAGAGCAAUUGAGCAAUGGCGAUAGUACAUACGGUAGCGACAAGCAUUCAGAAAGCAAAUUGGAUGAUCUUAAGUAACAAAACUUGGGAAACUAAUGUUUGGUGAGAUUCAAUGCUGCUGAAAUUUGAAUGAGAGAUCAUUAGACAACUCAUUUGCUUUCAAAGUACCCACAUUUGAUUUCAAUGUUAAGCAGCUCAUCAAAGUGACAAUGGAAAAGGCAUGUCACUGAAGAUCAUCCUGUCCUUAACAACCCUUUUUUUUUUUUGCCUAAACCUAUUUGGUUUUGUGGGAGUGGAGGAUGAUCCACAAAAACAAAUAUAAAAAUCUCAAAACCAGAAGUUAUUGCCCUAUAGACUUACUGCUGAUGGGAUUAUUGUUGGUAUAUAUUUGGCAUUGAUUCUCAUAACACUGAAAACUCUGCAACUCAAACAAAAAGCUGAAACAAGAGGUUUAAUCUAUGGCAAGAACUUGCUGUCAACCAAAAGAGACGGUGGACAUCAAUGGACCCCAGAUGUAAAAAUGUAAGCAUAUAUGGGAACUGUUAUAUGCAAACUGUAAAUAUUUUGAUUUUACAGAGUGGAUGUUUACAGAUAAGAAAGUGACUUUAUUAGACAGGUACUGGAAGACAUAAUUAUUGAAGGGGGAUAAAAAAAAAAGGUUAGUUAUCACUUAUAUCAUAUCAGUGUAUCAAAUACAAGUCUCUUCAGUGAUUUAACUAUUUAAACUUUCUUUUUUGCCUUUUUUUCUAUCUGAUCUGGAAAGGACAAGAGGGGGAUACCUAUUUUAGUAGAGAGAGAUUGAAGAGUCUUCCAUUGAUGGGGUCAUUGACAGCUGCACAAACAAGACAUUGCCCCAGCAAAAAAGUAUAACUGGCCUGGCUCCUCAGUUUCCAUGCCUGGAUAUUCUCUUUGAUUUUUAUUUCUUGAAAUGCUGCAUAUUUAUAUUAACAGCUCUGCCAAAACCAGUUAUGUUGAUUAUCUCCUUUUAUACUUGCCUGCUUUUGUAUGUAUUUAUUGCUUUUGCAUAUUGUUGAGCUGUGAUCAAUGGUGGGGAUUCGUUUUGAGCUGUAUAUAUAUGUUUUUUUCUCUCUUAUUUAUUUAUUUUGUUCUUUUUCAUGUAUUUGUUGUGUUUUGUAUUGGGUUUGAAGGCCUAUGGAGAUUGGUUGAAUGAAAUUGUCUGUUUUCUGCAGGUUUUUGGUAUGCUGAGUACAAAUAGGCCAAUGUCAGAUAAUAGACUGUGGACAAGAGUUCUUUUUUGUUAGCCAUUGCUAUAGAUUUCUCACUACAAAGAUAUUGUUUCAAUUUGUUGUCUCAGGCAUUGGCCUUUAGCAAGCUUUUUGAUACAAGUGUAUUGCCUUUAUGCAAUGGUUCUUAUCCUAUGUUACUCGGAUUCUUAGUGUGAACGUCUUAUCCGUUCCCAAAAUGGUAACGUUCGUUCAUCGUUGUCCGAGAUUUUUCUUACCAAAUGAGGAGGAGGGACGUUACAAAAAUGAAGGAUCCGAGCAAUAUGGACCAAUUUGGAUCCGAACAGGUUCCUUUUAAAACUACUUCGUUAAUCUGGACCUGUUUAUCAGAAAUGUCGGUUCUGGUUUAACAGAGGGAGAGAUUUGCAUGAUGAUUACAUGUGAGCCAUGGAUUGGCAAUAAGAUCUGCUGCAAGGGACCAUUUUAGGUAUGGUUCUUUAAUAUAUAAUUAUAUGAUGAAAUAAGUCAGUACCUGGUAAGAAAAUUAUACUUCUUGUGGUCCGUAAAAUGUCAUGGUAAACAGUUUUAAGACUCAACUGGUCUUGGGUUGCUUUGAUUCAGAUUUAUUUUCUUCUAUAAAACAAGUCUCAGUCUGCAAAUAAAAGAA